RNAcentral lists this ribosomal RNA (478 nucleotides) under Bacillus amyloliquefaciens. Its description in RNAcentral is "bacterial SSU rRNA". It matches the Rfam family "Bacterial small subunit ribosomal RNA", at positions 413 to 881 of the family's 1533-position model. The record is from RNAcentral. Lineage: Bacteria; Bacillati; Bacillota; Bacilli; Caryophanales; Bacillaceae.
GGUUUUCGGAUCGUAAAGCUCUGUUGUUAGGGAAGAACAAGUGCCGUUCAAAUAGGGCGGCACCUUGACGGUACCUAACCAGAAAGCCACGGCUAACUACGUGCCAGCAGCCGCGGUAAUACGUAGGUGGCAAGCGUUGUCCGGAAUUAUUGGGCGUAAAGGGCUCGCAGGCGGUUUCUUAAGUCUGAUGUGAAAGCCCCCGGCUCAACCGGGGAGGGUCAUUGGAAACUGGGGAACUUGAGUGCAGAAGAGGAGAGUGGAAUUCCACGUGUAGCGGUGAAAUGCGUAGAGAUGUGGAGGAACACCAGUGGCGAAGGCGACUCUCUGGUCUGUAACUGACGCUGAGGAGCGAAAGCGUGGGGAGCGAACAGGAUUAGAUACCCUGGUAGUCCACGCCGUAAACGAUGAGUGCUAAGUGUUAGGGGGUUUCCGCCCCUUAGUGCUGCAGCUAACGCAUUAAGCACUCCCCCCGUGGGGG